RNAcentral lists this long non-coding RNA (257 nucleotides) under Trifolium pratense (red clover). RNAcentral's name for it is "long non-coding RNA (TPRA_LNC007881)". The record is from RNAcentral. Lineage: Eukaryota; Viridiplantae; Streptophyta; Magnoliopsida; Fabales; Fabaceae.
AACUAAACUGUACUGCUACAGUAUCAUUAAUUACUACUCUAAUCAAAGUGAACAAAUUAUUAGAAUUAGUAAAACUAGAAUUAAAAAUAAUAGUAUAAUAUAAUAAUAGAAAAGGAAUAAAAGAACUAACCAGAAGAUGAAGAAGAGAGGAAGAGAUGAGGAGAGUGAAUUGGGACAGUAUAACUGAAUUUUGGGUUUAGUUUAAAACCAAAACAGAGACCCAUAAUUUAAUUCUUUGUUCCAUGAAAGUGUUGUCU